Long non-coding RNA from Camelus dromedarius (Arabian camel), 728 nucleotides. RefSeq lists it as uncharacterized. Lineage: Eukaryota; Metazoa; Chordata; Mammalia; Artiodactyla; Camelidae. The transcript has 3 exons. The record is from RefSeq and is a predicted model, not a curated record.
GCCAGGUAGCCCGCUGACCCUGGAGGACGAGAGAUGUGUGGAGCAGAGCCACUCCUCCUACUUGCAGACUCACAAGCCAGCCCAGCUGAGGCCAGCCAGGCUGCAGAGCCAUGAGGAAGCACUGCCUGCUGCUGUAAGCUGCUUGUUAGGCAGCGUCACCGUGGCAGCCGGUAGCUGAUACAGUGAGACGCGAGGAGUGACCAAGCCGAGGAGCACUGAGGAGAGCAGAUGGAGUUAGUGGUCAGCUGGGUGUGUGGGUCUCAGAUCGAAAGUCACCUCUUCAAGGAGACCUUCACUGACCGCCCGGAAUGAAGACCCCACCUGCAUCCUUUCUACCAACUCACCUGCCUGACUUCCUUCAUCUCACUCACAACUGUCCUCUGGCAGAACUCCAGGAGAGUCUCCAGCUCAGGUCUUGGCCGAGCAAGGAUGGGCCCCAUGAGCCAGCCCAGCAGCAGAUUGGCACAUGCUGUGUUGGCAGCAUCUUCGUUGCUCACUUAGGAGCCCCAGGACUCAGGCUUGCCCUUCCCUUCCUUCCCCAAACGCUUUUUGAGCACUGCACUGAACGCAGUGGGGCUGCCUUUGGAGCACAGGAGCCCAGCUACACUCCACCUUGUGACACCAGCUGUGGGACAUGGGUAAGUCACUUCUGCGGCCUCUGACCGCAGUUUCCUCAUCUGUAAAAUGGGGAUAAUAAUGACUACCUCAGAGGGUUGUUGUGAGGCUUG